RNAcentral lists this ribosomal RNA (494 nucleotides) under Penicillium corylophilum. Its description in RNAcentral is "eukaryotic LSU rRNA". The stretch from base 145 to 298 matches the Rfam family "5.8S ribosomal RNA". The record is from RNAcentral. Lineage: Eukaryota; Fungi; Ascomycota; Eurotiomycetes; Eurotiales; Aspergillaceae.
UUCCCCAUGUUUAUUGUACCUUGUUGCUUGGCGGGCCCGCCUCACGGCCGCCGGGGGGCUUCUGCCCUCUGGCCCGCGCCCGCCGAAGACACCAUUGAACACUGUCUGAAGAUUGCAGUCUGAGCAAUUAGCUAAAUAAGUUAAAACUUUCAACAACGGAUCUCUUGGUUCCGGCAUCGAUGAAGAACGCAGCGAAAUGCGAUACGUAAUGUGAAUUGCAGAAUUCAGUGAAUCAUCGAGUCUUUGAACGCACAUUGCGCCCCUUGGUAUUCCGGGGGGCAUGCCUGUCCGAGCGUCAUUGCUGCCCUCAAGCACGGCUUGUGUGUUGGGCCCCGUCCUCCUUCCCGGGGGACGGGCCCGAAAGGCAGCGGCGGCACCGCGUCCGGUCCUCGAGCGUAUGGGGCUUUGUCACCCGCUCUUGUAGGCCCGGCCGGCGCUUGCCGACAACCAUCAAUCUUUUUUCAGGUUGACCUCGGAUCAGGUAGGGAUACCCG